Molecule: small RNA, 120 nt
Filed under: unclassified sequences
Description: LOOT RNA
Rfam family: LOOT RNA
About the family: Latescibacteria, OD1/Parcubacteria, OP11, TM7. Lineage (Microgenomates, aka OP11)
Source: Rfam by way of RNAcentral
AGCCUAAACCAACGAGAAAUUGUUGGCAUGGUGAAAAGUCCGUUCAAGACAAAAACCCCAUCAUAUGGGAAUGUCUUGAACGGCCACGUCGGGAAACCGGCGCGGAGGACGCAAGUCCUC